Molecule: transfer RNA, 98 nt
Filed under: Fusarium equiseti
Lineage: Eukaryota; Fungi; Ascomycota; Sordariomycetes; Hypocreales; Nectriaceae
Description: tRNA-Gly
Rfam family: tRNA
About the family: Transfer RNA (tRNA) molecules are approximately 80 nucleotides in length. Their secondary structure includes four short double-helical elements and three loops (D, anti-codon, and T loops).
Source: RNAcentral
GCGUAAUUGGUUUAGUGGUAAAAUUCUCCGUUGCCAGUCGAGUUCCUUCGGAACCAACAAGUAUCGGGGAGCCCUGGGUUCGAUUCCCAGAUUACGCA